GUACCACCGAAGAGUCCCAUGUAACUGGACGAAACAGUUGUCCAGUAC
RNAcentral lists this non-coding RNA (48 nucleotides) under Trichobilharzia regenti. The record is from RNAcentral. Lineage: Eukaryota; Metazoa; Platyhelminthes; Trematoda; Strigeidida; Schistosomatidae.